AGGGCACCACCAGGAGUGGAGCCUGCGGCUUAGUUUGACUCAACACGGGAAAUCUCACCAGGCCCGGACACCGGAAGGAUUGACAGAUUGAGAGCUCUUUCUUGAUUCGGUGGGUGGUGGUGCAUGGCCGUUCUUAGUUGGUGGAGCGAUUUGUCUGGUUAAUUCCGAUAACGAACGAGACUCUGGCCUACUAACUAGACGUUGGAUCCCUUUGUGGGUCCAUCGCAGCUUCUUAGAGGGACGGGCGGCGUUUAGCCGCACGAGAUUGAGCAAUAACAGGUCUGUGAUGCCCCUAGAUGUUCUGGGCUGCACGCGCGCUACACUGAAGGAAUCAGCGUGUGUUCCCUAUCCGAAAGGAUUGGGAAACCCGUUGAACCUCCUUCGUGAUGGGGAUUGGGGAUUGCAAUUAUUCCCCAUGAACGAGGAAUUCCCAGUAGGCGCGAGUCAUAAGCUUGCGUCGAUUACGUCCCUGCCCUUUGUACACACCGCCCGUCGCUACUACCGAUCGAGUGAUUUAGU
RNAcentral lists this ribosomal RNA (519 nucleotides) under uncultured eukaryote. RNAcentral's name for it is "SSU rRNA". It matches the Rfam family "Eukaryotic small subunit ribosomal RNA", at positions 1161 to 1702 of the family's 1831-position model. The record is from RNAcentral.